AACAAAUCAGAAGAGGAUGGA
This 21-nucleotide non-coding RNA is filed under the name Arabidopsis thaliana (thale cress). The record is from RNAcentral. Lineage: Eukaryota; Viridiplantae; Streptophyta; Magnoliopsida; Brassicales; Brassicaceae.